UUGUUUUUUAACUUCUUCUAUAAGUAGAAAAACGUUCUGAUUAAUUAUGGCCCUAAUUUAAAAGGGAUUUUAAUUAGGUCCAUUGUCUAUGUCGAAAAGUCUUUACACAGUUCUGUCGAAUAAAUGACGUGGGUGUUUGAAGUUUAAUUUUCUAGUUACAUUUUUCCAUAUAUCAACCAUCCAGCAAUGGAUGUAUAACUUAUUCUUUUGCACCACAUUAGAUUCUAAUAAAAAUCUUUUAUAUACGUGGGUUCUAUGAUUCCCUAUGUCAAUGCUUGUAUAUUUUUAAAGAUCUCAGGUAUCCACCGUUGCAAGAGUAGCGUUUUUUAGAAUAAAAAUUAAAAAAACAAAAUCUUUAAAAUUGCAAAAUGGGGCGAGAUUUGAUGUUAACUUAGGAAUUUAUCUUGCUUAUGGCUAAUUGAAUGAGAGAUACAUAAACCUGGGACUUCCCCUUCA
RNAcentral lists this long non-coding RNA (456 nucleotides) under Eucalyptus grandis. Its description in RNAcentral is "long non-coding RNA (EGRA_LNC001957)". Lineage: Eukaryota; Viridiplantae; Streptophyta; Magnoliopsida; Myrtales; Myrtaceae. The record is from RNAcentral.